Long non-coding RNA from Rhinopithecus roxellana (golden snub-nosed monkey), 431 nucleotides. RefSeq lists it as uncharacterized. Lineage: Eukaryota; Metazoa; Chordata; Mammalia; Primates; Cercopithecidae. The record is from RefSeq and is a predicted model, not a curated record. The transcript has 3 exons.
AUAGAUGAAACUUUACCUAACAUCUGAGCAGCAAGCUGAGCUGGGUCAGCUGGGACGUAGGCAAACUCUGAUUUCACUCACUGCUUGGGCUGUAUUUCCCUGCACAAGACUUUGAAAGUGUCCUCAGGAAGAAAGCCUCUGUGAAUAUGGGCUGAAUUUCUAGGAAUCCCUUCUCCCAAGAAUCUAGUAUCAUUCAACAGAUUUACUGAAUUAAACCAUCUUUAAAAAACCAGAAGUGAUCCAGCAAUCCCACUGCUGGGUGUAUACCCAAAUGGAAAUCAGUAUACAGAAGAGCUAUCUGCACUCCCAUGCUCGUUGCAGCACUGUUGACAAUAGGUAAGAUUUGGAAGCAACCUAAGUGUCCAUCAACAGAUGAAUAAAGACAAUGUGGUGCACAGAUACAACGGAGUACUAUUCAGCCAUUAAAAAAG